UAAUAGCGCCACCGAUUGACCGUUACCCGCAGAAGAAGCACCGGCUAACUCCGUGCCAGCAGCCGCGGUAAUACGGAGGGUGCGAGCGUUAAUCGGAAUUACUGGGCGUAAAGCGUACGCAGGCGGUCUGUUAAGUCAGAUGUGAAAUCCCCGGGCUCAACCUGGGAACUGCAUUUGAAACUGGCAGGCUAGAGUCUCGUAGAGGGGGGUAGAAUUCCAGGUGUAGCGGUGAAAUGCGUAGAGAUCUGGAGGAAUACCGGUGGCGAAGGCGGCCCCCUGGACGAAGACUGACGCUCAGGUACGAAAGCGUGGGGAGCAAACAGGAUUAGAUACCCUGGUAGUCCACGCUGUAAACGAUGUCGAUUUGAAGGUUGUGGCCUUGAGCCGUGGCUUUCGGAGCUAACGCGUUAAAUCGACCGCCUGGGGAGUACGGCCGCAAGGUUAAAACUCAAAUGAAUUGACGGGGGCCCGCACAAGCGGUGGAGCAUGUGGUUUAAUUCGAUGCAACGCGAAGAACCUUACCUACUCUUGACAUCCAGAGGAAUUAGCAGACAUGCCUUGGUGCCUUCGG
This 571-nucleotide ribosomal RNA is filed under the name Candidatus Sodalis pierantonii str. SOPE. RNAcentral's name for it is "bacterial SSU rRNA". It matches the Rfam family "Bacterial small subunit ribosomal RNA", at positions 456 to 1023 of the family's 1533-position model. The record is from RNAcentral. Lineage: Bacteria; Pseudomonadati; Pseudomonadota; Gammaproteobacteria; Enterobacterales; Bruguierivoracaceae.